UCUCUCUAGUUUUCUCUGAUCAACGCAUGCGCUAAAAUCGACACGUGACUAAAUAUAAUCAGUCAUAAGUUGACCAUAAGACAAGAGAAAAAGACUUCCGAACUGGAAGACACGGAAUACAUAUAUAUGACCGAGAGGCUCGGAGACGCAGAUUGAAAACGCUGAGAUCAGAACUAUAAAACGAGUGCGACCGUCGACUUUUUUCAUAUCUUGAGUGG
This is a non-coding RNA of Caenorhabditis elegans, 218 nucleotides long. The record is from Ensembl. NCBI's taxonomy places the organism in Eukaryota, Metazoa, Nematoda, Chromadorea, Rhabditida, Rhabditidae.